UACGUAGGCAGCGAGCGUUGUUCGGAAUUACUGGGCGUAAAGAGUGUGUAGGCGGUGCUCUAAGUUCGGUGUGAAAUCUCCCGGCUUAACUGGGAGGGUGCGCCGGAAACUGGAGUGCUCGAGCGUGGGAGAGGGAAGCGGAAUUCCUGGUGUAGCGGUGAAAUUCGUAGAUAUCGGGUAGAACACCAGUGGCGAAGGCGGCUAUCUGGACGGACACUGACGCUGAGACGCGAAAGCGUGGGGAGCAAACAGG
Molecule: ribosomal RNA, 253 nt
Filed under: uncultured bacterium
Lineage: Bacteria
Description: partial 16S ribosomal RNA
Rfam family: Bacterial small subunit ribosomal RNA
Source: RNAcentral